This 303-nucleotide ribosomal RNA is filed under the name uncultured bacterium. RNAcentral's name for it is "partial 16S ribosomal RNA". It matches the Rfam family "Bacterial small subunit ribosomal RNA", at positions 507 to 807 of the family's 1533-position model. The record is from RNAcentral.
AGCAGUAGCCGCGGUAAUACGGAGGGUGCAAGCGUUAAUCGGAAUUACUGGGCGUAAAGCGUGCGUAGGUGGUGGUUUAAGUCCGUUGUGAAAGCCCUGGGCUCAACCUGGGAAUUGCAGUGGAUACUGGGUCACUAGAGUGUGGUAGAGGAUAGUGGAAUUUCCGGUGUAGCAGUGAAAUGCGUAGAGAUCGGAAGGAACAUCUGUGGCGAAGGCGACUAUCUGGGCCAACACUGACACUGAGGCACGAAAGCGUGGGGAGCAAACAGGAUUAGAUACCCCUGUAGUCCCUGUCUCUUAUAC